RNAcentral lists this ribosomal RNA (468 nucleotides) under uncultured bacterium. Its description in RNAcentral is "partial 16S ribosomal RNA". It matches the Rfam family "Bacterial small subunit ribosomal RNA", at positions 29 to 507 of the family's 1533-position model. The record is from RNAcentral.
AACGAACGCUGGCGGCGUGCUUAACACAUGCAAGUCGGACGGCAACGCCCUACUAUUGUGGUCUUCUCGAUUGCCGAACGCGUGCGUAACACGAAAAUAACCUACCCUUCACUUUCGGAUAACUUCAGGUAACUGAACCUAAUACCAUACAGCAUCCCCUGCUCCAUUGUGAGCGUUGGAUCUUUUCGGCGGUUGCGGAUGGACUCGCGGCUUAUCAGCUAGUUGGUGGGGUAGUGGCUUACCAAGGCGUUGACGGGUACCCGGCCUGAGUGGGUGACCGGCGACAUAGGGACUGAGAUGCGGCCGAGACGGCGACGAGAGGCAGCAGUGGGGAAUAUUGAACAAUGGGCGGAAGCCUGAUGAAGAAACGCCGCGGGCUGGAUGACGGCCUUGGUGUGGUAAAACGCUUUCGGGUGUAACGAAGCGUGAGUGACGGGAAUGGGUAAAAAAAGACCGGCUAACUACGUG